Molecule: ribosomal RNA, 497 nt
Filed under: uncultured bacterium
Lineage: Bacteria
Description: partial 16S ribosomal RNA
Rfam family: Bacterial small subunit ribosomal RNA
Source: RNAcentral
GAUGAACGCUGGCGGCGUGCCUAAUACAUGCAAGUCGAACGGACAGACGAGGAGCUUGCUCCUCUGACGUUAGCGGCAGACGGGUGUGUAACACGUGUAUCCCGUACCUAUCAUACUGGUAUAACUUCGAGACACCGGGUCUUAUACGGGAUGAUCUCUUGCACCGCGUGGUGCGAUGGUGAAAUUCGGCUUUUCUGUCACUUCUCGCUGGAUCCGGGCCGCUUUAGCUAGUUGGGAAGGUAACGGCCUACCAAGGCAAGCAGGCGUAAACGACGUCACAGGGGGAUAGCCCACCUGGGAGGUGAGCCGCGGUCCAGGGUACUGAGGGAGGGAGCAGUAGGGAAUCGUACGCAAUGGGGGAAAGCCUGACGGAGCAACGGCGCGUGAGUGAUGGAGGUCUUCGGAGCGUAAAACUCUGUUAUUAGGGAAGAACAAAUGUGUAAGUAACUAUGGACGUCUUGACGGUACCGAAUCAGAAAGCCACGGCUAACUACGUG